RNAcentral lists this ribosomal RNA (200 nucleotides) under uncultured bacterium. RNAcentral's name for it is "partial 16S ribosomal RNA". It matches the Rfam family "Bacterial small subunit ribosomal RNA", at positions 328 to 539 of the family's 1533-position model. The record is from RNAcentral.
ACGCUCGACACCUACGGGGGGCAGCAGUGGGGAAUAUUGGGCAAUGGGCGCAAGCCUGACCCAGCAACGCCGCGUGAAGGAAGAAGGCUUUCGGGUUGUAAACUUCUUUUGUCAGGGAACAGUAGAAGAGGGUACCCGACGAAUAAGCCACGGCUAACUACGUGCCAGUAGCCGCGGUAAUCUGAGCGGGCUGGCAAGGC